Molecule: ribosomal RNA, 253 nt
Filed under: uncultured Christensenella sp.
Lineage: Bacteria; Bacillati; Bacillota; Clostridia; Christensenellales; Christensenellaceae
Description: partial 16S ribosomal RNA
Rfam family: Bacterial small subunit ribosomal RNA
Source: RNAcentral
UACGUAGGUGGCGAGCGUUAUCCGGAAUGAUUGGGCGUAAAGGGUGCGUAGGUGGCCAUGUAAGUUAGGUGUGAAAGACCGGGGCUUAACCCCGGGGCGGCACUUAAAACUGUGUGGCUUGAGUACAGGAGAGGGAAGUGGAAUUCCUAGUGUAGCGGUGAAAUGCGUAGAUAUUAGGAGGAACACCAGUGGCGAAGGCGACUUUCUGGACUGUAACUGACACUGAGGCACGAAAGCGUGGGGAGCAAACAGG